This is a long non-coding RNA of Hyalella azteca, 269 nucleotides long. RefSeq lists it as uncharacterized. The record is from RefSeq and is a predicted model, not a curated record. The transcript is spliced from 2 exons. Lineage: Eukaryota; Metazoa; Arthropoda; Malacostraca; Amphipoda; Hyalellidae.
CACCGCUUAGAAUAACUACAAUACAAUGGCUUCCAUCUUUAACCUGAGCCUGAUUGCCCUGGUGGUGAUGAUGAUGGCGGCUGGCGCCAUUGCUGAUCCUGAUCCUAAACCUUUCCCUGCGCCUGGCAAAGGCAAAGGCGGGGGCAAAGGAAAGGGCAAAGGACACUGAAGAAAGGCUUGCGAACUGGCUUGAAAAAAUUGGACGGUGAUUAGAUUGGUAAAUUCUAUUUUUUUAUAUCGACGAAAAAUUAAACUAAGUGCGAAAUUAA